RNAcentral lists this ribosomal RNA (444 nucleotides) under Labidocera laevidentata. RNAcentral's name for it is "bacterial SSU rRNA". It matches the Rfam family "Eukaryotic small subunit ribosomal RNA", at positions 1344 to 1813 of the family's 1831-position model. The record is from RNAcentral. Lineage: Eukaryota; Metazoa; Arthropoda; Copepoda; Calanoida; Pontellidae.
CUGUCUGCUAAUAGAUUCAGCGUUUUUUUGCGUUGGAACUUCUUCUUAGAGGGACUGGCGAUGAUUAGUCGCACGAGAUUGAGCAAUAACAGGUCUGUGAUGCCCUUAGAUGUUCUGGGCCGCACACGCGCUACACUGAAUAGAUCAGCUAGUUCUUCCCUUCCCGAGAGGGACGGGUAAUCUGCUGAACCCUAUUCGUGGUAGGGAUUGGGGUUUGCAAUUAUCCCCCAUGAACCAGGAAUCCCCAGUAAUCGCGAGUCAUCAGCUCGCGGUGAUUACGUCCCUGUCCUUUGUACACACCGCCCGUCGCUACUACCGAUUGAAUGUUUUAGUGAGGUCCUCGGAUUGUUUUCCUGGCGGUUCACGCUGCCUAGUUAACGAAAAGACGACCAAACUGUAGCAUUUAGAGGAAGUAAAAGUCGUAACAAGGUAUCCGUAGGUGAA